AUCUAAGUAGCGUAGUAGUUAACGCACGGCCCCGGUUAGGCGCGAGACGCGGGUUCGAAUCCCGCCUUAGAUG
This is a non-coding RNA of Nippostrongylus brasiliensis, 73 nucleotides long. Lineage: Eukaryota; Metazoa; Nematoda; Chromadorea; Rhabditida; Heligmosomidae. The record is from Rfam.